RNAcentral lists this ribosomal RNA (346 nucleotides) under uncultured Pseudomonas sp. RNAcentral describes it as "bacterial SSU rRNA". It matches the Rfam family "Bacterial small subunit ribosomal RNA", at positions 1040 to 1382 of the family's 1533-position model. Lineage: Bacteria; Pseudomonadati; Pseudomonadota; Gammaproteobacteria; Pseudomonadales; Pseudomonadaceae. The record is from RNAcentral.
GCUGCAUGGCUGUCGUCAGCUCGUGUCGUGAGGAUGUUGGGUUAAGUCCGUAACGAGCGCAACCCUUGUCCUUAGUUACCAGCACGUUAUGGUGGGCGACUCUAAGGAGACUGCCGGCGACAAACCGGACGGAAGGUGGGGGAUGACGUCAAGUCAUCAUGGCCCUUACGGCCUGGGCUACACACGUGCUACAAUGGUCGGUACAAAGGGUUGCCAAGCCGCGAGGUGGAGCUAAUCCCAUAAAACCGAUCGUAGUCCGGAUCGCAGUCUGCAACUCGACUGCGUGAAGUCGGAAUCGCUAGUAAUCGUGAAUCAGAAUGUCACGGUGAAUACGUUCCCGGGCCUU